This is a long non-coding RNA of Centruroides sculpturatus (bark scorpion), 1345 nucleotides long. RefSeq lists it as uncharacterized. The transcript is spliced from 3 exons. Lineage: Eukaryota; Metazoa; Arthropoda; Arachnida; Scorpiones; Buthidae. The record is from RefSeq and is a predicted model, not a curated record.
CGCGUUUUUUAACGUUUGUUCGAAAUACGUCACACAUGACGAAUCGCAGUUCGAUUGUGUUUCUCGUUGCUGUCGGACGUGCUUUUCUUUCGCUCUUGGAUUGCGUGCUGUUUUCUGCGGUUUCGUGCCUUUUACAGAGAAGAUUGAAGAUUUUUUAGGUAAGUCUUAGUCCUUAUUGAUCCUAGACGUAAGAAUUUAUUUAAUAUUACUUGGAGAAUCGGUCCCAGAAGACAUCUCGGCACAUCGUUCGAUGGUCGACCGUUUGCGCUUCGGAUUCGAAUCUUUUAGAUUUAAAAAGGCGGCUGCGGAUGAAGACGUUGGUGCGUUGUUGGAGGCGGUUCCGGCGGAGGCAGGCGGUGGCGCCGGUGGGAGAGGGUUCCUCGGACGACGCGGAACCAGUCUGUCGUUCCGUGCCGUUGGAGGAGCGGGGGCUCGACGGAGUGACAGGCAGCGAGUGAAGAAGGCCUUGGCCAAGUGCGCGUGGCGUGGCAUCCUCCCGGAGUAGGGAUGAUGCGACGCUACACCCUGGGUCCAGUGCGCUUGGCCGAGGUCUUCGGGGAUCAUCCGGCCACAGACAUUUCUGUGGAGGAUGUUGAAAGUGUCAGCUCGGACGAGCUGUCACUUUCUGUUUGGUCGCGUUCUGCCCGUUCGUCCGCGACGGCGACGCCACCGCCUUGCCGAAAUCGGAACGGGGAGGAGUCGUAGGAGAGAGCCCCCGAAGUCGAGGGACCCCUGGCCUAGGCGAUGAACUUCUUCGAUUUCCUCUUCUUCACACGGAUGCGACUUUCUUACCGGAUUCGACACUUUUCACCCGGACAUGACACUUUUUAACGGACGUGACUUCUCUUACCCGGACGUGACCCACGGACUUGACACGUUUCUUCACCGGACGCGACAUUCGGCCGACCUUUCUUCCCAAACAGCUGUUAUGAGGAUUGAGCUUCCGGUUAGGGUUCGUUAGGUCAGGUCCUUCGCUCUUCUCAUAACACUGUUCGGGAAGAAAGGCUGUCUGAUUAAGGUAAUAAUCUUGACCUUAGGUAAUAAAUGAAUAAACUUCUCGUUUUCUCACUGCCUUUGUGUUUUGUAGGAACAUUUGGGAGGGAGAAGUAUCUCCCUCUCCAUCUUUACCACGAAGAGGACCAAGAAGUGGUCAUUUAUCGUACAAGUGAAUAUUUUCCGAUGGCAUGCCGAAGAUGUUCUUCGAUCACACACAUACACACACACGCACGGACAUAACACCACCGUACACGAAGAUAUACACCGUUUAACCUUUACUCGAAUUCUCGCACUCACGCACUUACACGUCAAGCGCCACGUUCUGUGUAAUUCGACACAAUGAAACAAC